This is a long non-coding RNA of Leopardus geoffroyi (Geoffroy's cat), 1752 nucleotides long. RefSeq lists it as uncharacterized. Lineage: Eukaryota; Metazoa; Chordata; Mammalia; Carnivora; Felidae. The transcript has 5 exons. The record is from RefSeq and is a predicted model, not a curated record.
CACAGCAGGGCUCGUCGCGGUGACCCACAGCGAGCUCGGUCACCUUCCCAGCAGCCUGUCCUUGAAUCCUGUUUCACAGAGAACCCCAAGCUGAGUGGACGUGGAUGAAGCCACACGACCUGGAGACGACUCUGCCCAGGCCAGAGCCAGACUCCGGCCUCUCUCCCGAGGCCCAGAAGCCCUUCAUCCCCUCAGGCACGGCUGAUUGCUUCUCAAGUCUCUCGAGGUGCUGGAAUCCUGGCGUGGCUUCUGAAAGCGCGGACCUUCCGACCAUCCUCUGCCCCUUUUGGAAGCCGAAGGGCCCGCGGAGUCCCAGCCUGUGCCCCAAUCCCUGCACGGACACAUCGUCCCUGUGGCUUCAGCUGGCAGGCACGGUCUUCUGUGGCCACUCCGGCCAGGCCAAGCCGGGAGGAGUCCACGGAGGCUAAGGAAGUAUGUCACUGAUCCGCGGUCACAAGGGACAGCCCUGAGACCCCUAUUGAGCGCUGGCCAGGAGGCGACCGCCCCCUGGUGGGCGGAAAUUCUCGAAGCCGGAGGACUGGAGCCUGGGAGAGUAGACACGGCAAACCAGGACCACGCACACGCUGUCCUUCCUGCCCGUACUGCCCCUGAUGAGUCUGGCCGACUACAUACUCGCACCUAAGUGUUUCCUGGAGCAGGUUACUUCUCUCAAGCACACUCCCUGAUCAGAGGCACGGUCACCAGAGGACCAUGGCAGUCGCCCUGUCCUGGCCUCCCUGCUUUCACCUUGGCCCACGCCUGCAGUUGGCAGGUAUACGCUGAGAACUAUGGUCAGAACACGGUCUCCACUGCUCGUCUCGCUCCAACGGAUCCUGGCUAGUUUCCGUACUUCGCCCCAUUCUCCCUGCUCCCCAAGCACAUUCCCUGGGCCGCUUCGUCCCGGGGCUGCCCGGCUUGCAGAUCUUCACCGGCUUCACCCCUUCCCCCAUCUCUGUCUCCCAAACUCAGCCUGUGCCUCCCGCUUGCAUCCAGACCCAGUUCCCCUAAGGCACCGGGUGCCCCGAGGCAGGGGCUUCGCCAGAAUGAGUGGUUCUCAACCAGGGGCCAUUCUGCAGUGUCUGGAGUGGCCGGGAAGGGUCUUGGAAGUCCAAAACCCCAUGAGAAGGAAAGAAACUGAGUUAGACCUGUGAGCAAAGAGGUGGCCUUGGCCAAUGGGCAGAGCCAGGCCAACCUGGGCAAGAGUCAGGUCUCCAGUUUUGCCUCCCCAACCUGCUGGGCAGGGAGCCAGGGACAGAUGGGGCAGGAGGAAGGCUUGGGCUGACUCCCCCCGCCCCCGCCUUUCCCCUGCUUGCCUGGGACCCACGCACACCAGGAGUCCUUGGCGAAGUCCCCCAUGGGGCAGGAAGGGCAGACACCCCAGAGCAGAUGGGCAGGUAAGGGUAGUACCCGGAAGGAACGCAGUUCUCGGCCCCAGCCAGUCUGCUCCCCACACUCUGUGCUGCGUAGGCCUCAGAAGCAGUGCCCUCCUCACCCUCCUUUGACUAAACACCAUUUUAAAGAAGCUGCUCCGGUCACUUUAGGUGAAACGGAGUGUGUAUGUGUACAGGGGGGAGUGGUAGUCACAAGCUUUCGUGGCAACCUGAACUUUUUCCGUGUUGAGUUUUUCCCAACAGUAAUGAAGUCACUGUGUGAUUAUUUGUUUUAAAAAGCAAAUGUCGGGGUGCCCGGGUGGCUCAGUCGGUUAAGCACCGGACUUUGGCUCAGGUCAUGACCUUAGUUUGUGAGUUCGAG